ACCCUUUAAUGUUUGAUGUUCUAACGUGGACCCGUAAUCCGGGUUGCGGACAGUGUCUGGUGGGUAGUUUGACUGGGGCGGUCUCCUCCUAAAGAGUAACGGAGGAGCACGAAGGUUGGCUAAUCCUGGUCGGACAUCAGGAGGUUAGUGCAAUGGCAUAAGCCAGCUUGACUGCGAGCGUGACGGCGCGAGCAGGUGCGAAAGCAGGUCAUAGUGAUCCGGUGGUUCUGAAUGGAAGGGCCAUCGCUCAACGGAUAAAAGGUACUCCGGGGAUAACAGGCUGAUACCGCCCAAGAGUUCAUAUCGACGGCGGUGUUUGGCACCUCGAUGUCGGCUCAUCACAUCCUGGGGCUGAAGUAGGUCCCAAGGGUAUGGCUGUUCGCCAUUUAAAGUGGUACGCGAGCUGGGUUUAGAACGUCGUGAGACAGUUCGGUCCCUAUCUGCCGUGGGCGCUGGAGAACUGAGGGGGGCUGCUCCUAGUACGAGAGGACCGGAGUGGACGCAUCACUGGUGUUCGGGUUGUCAUGCCAAUGGCACUGCCCGGUAGCUAAAUGCGGAAGAGAUAAGUGCUGAAAGCAUCUAAGCACGAAACUUGCCCCGAGAUGAGUUCUCCCUGAGACUUAAAGUCUCCUGAAGGAACGUUGAAGACGACGACGUUGAUAGGCCGGGUGUGUAAGCGCAGCGAUGCGUUGAGCUAACCGGUACUAAUGAACCGUGAGGCUUAACCUU
This 729-nucleotide ribosomal RNA is filed under the name Salmonella enterica. Its description in RNAcentral is "partial 23S ribosomal RNA". It matches the Rfam family "Bacterial large subunit ribosomal RNA", at positions 2202 to 2925 of the family's 2925-position model. RNAcentral also lists the same sequence under 2 other names. The record is from RNAcentral. Lineage: Bacteria; Pseudomonadati; Pseudomonadota; Gammaproteobacteria; Enterobacterales; Enterobacteriaceae.